UGAUCGUUUACAGCUAGGACUACCGGGGUAUCUAAUCCCGUUCGCUCCCCUAGCUUUCGUGCCUCAGCGUCAGAAGAGUCCCAGUAAGCCGCUUUCGCCACCGGUGUUCCUGAUGAUAUCAACGCAUUUCACCGCUCCACCAUCAGUUCCGCUUACCUCUGACUCCCUCAAGGCUUAUGGUUUCCAACGCAAUUCCACGGUUGAGCCGUGGGCUUUCACAUCAGACCUUUAAACCCGCCUACGCACCCUUUAAGCCCAGUGAUUCCGAAUAACGUUUGCACAGUUCGU
Molecule: ribosomal RNA, 288 nt
Filed under: uncultured Planctomycetota bacterium
Lineage: Bacteria; Pseudomonadati; Planctomycetota
Description: uncultured planctomycete partial 16S ribosomal RNA
Source: RNAcentral